Molecule: long non-coding RNA, 404 nt
Organism: Choloepus didactylus (southern two-toed sloth)
Lineage: Eukaryota; Metazoa; Chordata; Mammalia; Pilosa; Megalonychidae
Exons: 3
Source: RefSeq, a predicted model, not a curated record
CCCGUGGAAACGGCGGGCGGCAGCGGAGGGAGUGCCUGGAUUACAGCUUCUCCAACUUCAAAGAGAUGUUUUCUGUUAUCUGCAACAAAAAACCUUGACUACUACAACAGGACCAUUGCUAAAAAUAGGAAACCCCCAAAAAAGGCAAGAAAUAGAUAUCAAUUACAAUCCUUCCAACAAAAGAUGAAUUUGUGGAUGUUUUAAGCCUCACAUCUAUCUUCUCCUUCUGCCCCUUAUCUGUGCAACCUGAUAAGCCUAGCUGCUUCCUCCUUUGAUGCCAAGGGAAAGUUUAAACCAUGGGCUGGAACCCUCACCUCAGCCUCAUGCCCUACUAUUAUUAAAAUCUCAAGGCAGUGUCCCCUUUCUAGCCAUUUUCAGACCAACUUUGGAAGUCACUCUGCUUU